CAAGGAGUCUAACAUGUACGCGAGUCAUUGGGCGAACUAAACCCAAAGGCGCAAUGAAAGUGAAGGUUCCCUUCGGAAUUCUAGGGAGGAUCCGUUUAGGACGGCUCGGCCGGUUUAUCCCGGCUGUCCGCCCCGGCGCACUCCCGGGGCGUCCCGACCGCUACUUGCCGGUGGGGCGCACCUAGAGCGUACACGUUGGUACCCGAAAGAUGGUGAACUAUGCCUGGCCAGGACGAAGCCAGAGGAAACUCUGGUGGAGGUCCGUAGCGAUUCUGACGUGCAAAUCGAUCGUCGGAGCUGGGUAUAGGGGCGAAAGACUAAUCGAACCAUCUAGUAGCUGGUUCCCUCCGAAGUUUCCCUCAGGAUAGCUGGUGCUCGGAGAGUUGGACGACUUUAUCAGUCUCAUCCGGUAAAGCGAAUGAUUAGAGGCCUUGGGGCCGAAAUGACCUCAACCUAUUCUCAAACUUUAAAUGGGUGAGAAGUCGGGCUUGCUUGACACAACCGCAAGGUUUGAAGCCUGACACAGGAUGUAAGAGCACCCAGUGGGCCACUUUUGGUAAGCAGAACUGGCGCUGUGGGAUGAACCAAACGCCGGGUUACGGCGCCCGAUACGACGCUCAUUAGACCCCAUGAAAGGUGUUGGUUGCUUU
RNAcentral lists this ribosomal RNA (650 nucleotides) under Argulus americanus. RNAcentral describes it as "partial large subunit ribosomal RNA". It matches the Rfam family "Eukaryotic large subunit ribosomal RNA", at positions 667 to 1234 of the family's 3401-position model. Lineage: Eukaryota; Metazoa; Arthropoda; Ichthyostraca; Arguloida; Argulidae. The record is from RNAcentral.